CUCCACAGACAGCCUGAGAGCGGCAGGGGGGAGAGCUCUGUGGGACCCAGCAGCCCCAGCCACGGGACGACAGACGCGCCCGUGCCGGUGCCGCUGUUUUCCAAGGAGGGCGGAGAGCAGCGUUGGGUGGAGGGCACGCGUCUGGAGCCGGGUUUCGUCAGGUGCCCUGCUGGAAAGGGCGGGCUGACUGCAGGCCAGGGGCACAGUGGCUGGAGAGUGGCCCGCCCGGGCGUGUGUGGGUGAUCUCGGCGAGUGAGCGGCAGCCAGGCCCCCGCCUGCAGGGCACUUCUGCCCCUGACGCUCCAGUUCACGCAGCAGUUCUCGCUGGGAUCACAGACGAAGAAGCAGGGGCAGCCCGGCGGCAGCGCUGGCCUUUCUGAUGGCAGCUGCAGCAGCCUGGAGUCCAGGAGUCACAUGACUUUAAGUAAUGCCCUCAAUCACAGGAGAGGGAGGUUGUGCAGCUCACCCGCUGGGAGUUGUGUGAUCACUGAAGAAUCCCCAGGCGGAUGGAUGAGAGCAGCCUGGGAGAAGGCGCCCCCUUCCUUACCUGGGCCUGUGGGGACCGAGAGCUGCCCCCUGGGACAGCGCCGAGCGGGCCCAGUGUUAACUGCCUUGCGGUCCUCCACGUGGCUAAUUUGGAGGCCCCGGCUGAACUUUUUCUGUUGUUGCUAUCCGUUUCCCACCACAGAUGUGUUACCUUAAAGUGCUGUGGGCCAGAAGUCUGAGGCUGAAGGCAGAAUGAGGACUUUGAAGUUGCUCUGAUGACAAAGAGCAAUGCCACAGGCAGAUCUAUGAACCGCAACCGUCUCUAAUGCUGGUGAUGGUGGGGCCUCUCAGCUCAAGAGGACGAACAGAGGGCACAGAGACUGGGAUGACAAAAUGCUUGUCCAGUGACGAGGUGAAAAGGAUCCUUUUGGGUUUCCAUACCAACAAUGCAUUUAUACGAAUAAUCAACUUGGAAAGACACUGGAAAGCCAUUGUCUCACGAGAUAUGAUCAAAUAGAUGAACAGCCAUGAUGUCUACCUGCAGUCCACUGACAUACAGAAGAGAACAUUUGAGAGCUUCCACGGUUCACUAGGUUUGGUUUCCCAUGCUUCAGGGAGGUAGGCUGACUAAAUGCAGUGUUUGCAGGCAAAUCCAUCACUGGUAGUGAGGUAUCUACAGGCCACCAAGUUCAGUAGCUGUGUGACCUGGGUCCCAAAUGGAAAGGGGAGUAAGGGACUGGGGAGGGGUAGAAGGCUGGAGUCCUAACUUCGGAGCUCAGACUCUUCAUUCUCUCCCCCGAAGACGAUAAGUCCUCCUGGGUUCUGUUUAGUGGGGACAAAGCCAAGUUAGCCACACAUAAUUCUGCCUGUGUUUCACAGGCCUCCAUGCUUCCUUCCACUCUUAAAUUUUCAAAGGGAGGGGGAAGCAUGUUUAGUUGCUUAAUAUUUCUGUAUAUCUUAAAGGCCCCUUCAUAUUUAUCAUCAGAGACACACCAAAGCACAUUACAAGUAAUGUAAGCCAGCUGGUGCCUAGCAGGCCAAAAUCAGUUGAUGGUUUAAUAGUAAAAAACAUCUUUUUGUUAACAUUUUUCUGGAGCACAUCACCAAAGAAUGCAUGGCCCCUUUCUGCAUUUUACAGAAAAGAACUGUCUCGCUAGCUCUGUCUUCAGGUGUUGAAUGCUUGUGGGGUGUGCACCAUUGACACGGCUUCUCUGAGAACAUUUGGCGGAUCUAUCUAAUGCAUCUUCCAAGCACCAGCGAAACUCCUCCCUCUGUGAUGGGUUUGUGAGGUCUCCACACACUGCCUGCCUAGGGCACACUUAGUAAACUUGCCUAAGUUUAGAGGAAAUUCCUUCCUGGGAACAGAAACUUAGCUGGUGCGUCUUCUGCUCUGGGCAAGCACUAGUGAUGGAUAAAAUAAUUCAGAAUGACUACGAAGAGAUUUGGGAUUUUUGCUGUUUCCUUUUGUGUUGAUUCUGUCUGAGUCACAAUUCAUGCAUUAAUUCAUCAGGGGUGGCCACUGAAUUUCAAAGGACGGCCCAAAGGGGUAAAUUACCCUUGCUCACAAGCUGCUCACCAAUACCCCCAGCCCCGUGACCCUUUCUGUGCUUACAUCUUUACACAGAGUGCCCCAGCUCAGGGCCUGUCUCCAGAAUUUCUCCCCCCAAGGAGCCUGCUCUAUGCAUCUUUACUGCGAUACACCGCUACUCUAGGCUAGUUUUCAGGGAAAUGCACAAAAUUUCAUUGUCACAGUAUUAUCAGUGCGAUACUUAAAAUUCAAGGACUGUUCCAAAUUACUCUGUACAUCGAGCGGCCUUUAGCCACCAUGGCAGCUGGGACAUAAUUCCAAAAUGUGAUUACAUCUCCACUUCGAAUGCCAUGGGAAGUUCCUGUAUGCUCAGAGAAGGAAAGCUGAAUUCAAAAAGAGCUACAAGUGGA
Heterocephalus glaber (naked mole-rat) is the source of this 2424-nucleotide long non-coding RNA. The record is from Ensembl. NCBI's taxonomy places the organism in Eukaryota, Metazoa, Chordata, Mammalia, Rodentia, Bathyergidae.